GCUCUUGGUUAGCUCAGUUGGUAGAGCGCUCCACUGUAAAUGGAGAGGUCCCUGGCUCGAUACCAGGACCAGGCG
Molecule: transfer RNA, 75 nt
Filed under: Ixodes scapularis (black-legged tick)
Lineage: Eukaryota; Metazoa; Arthropoda; Arachnida; Ixodida; Ixodidae
Description: tRNA-Tyr
Rfam family: tRNA
About the family: Transfer RNA (tRNA) molecules are approximately 80 nucleotides in length. Their secondary structure includes four short double-helical elements and three loops (D, anti-codon, and T loops).
Source: RNAcentral